AGGAUUAGAUACCCUGGUAGUCCGCGCCGUAAACGAUGGGCGCUAAUUGUGGGGACCUUCCACGGUUUCUGCGACGCAGCUAACGCAUUAAGCGCCCCGCCUGGGGAGUACGAUCGCAAGAUUAAAACUCAAAGGAAUUGACGGGGACCCGCACAAGCAGCGGAGCAUGCGGCUUAAUUCGACGCAACGCGAAGAACCUUACCAAGGCUUGACAUAUAGCGAAAAGCGGCAGAGAUGUCGUGUCCGCAAGGGCGCUAUACAGGUGGUGCAUGGUUGUCGUCAGCUCGUGUCGUGAGAUGUUGGGUUAAGUCCCGCAACGAGCGCAACCCUCGUUCUGUGUUGCCAGCAUUUAGUUGGGGACUCACAGGAGACUGCCGUGGUUAACACGGAGGAAGGUGGGGAUGACGUCAAAUCAUCAUGCCCCUUAUGUCUUGGGCUGCACGCAUGCUACAAUGGCCGAUACAAAGGGCUGCAAUACCGUGAGGUGGAGCGAAUCCCAUAAAGUCGGUCUCAGUUCGGAUUGAGGUCUGCAACUCGACCUCAUGAAGUCGGAGUUGCUAGUAAUCGUAGAUCAGCAACGCUACGGUGAUACGUUCCCGGGUCUUGUACACACCGCCCGUCACGUCACGAAAGUCGGUAACACCCAAAGUCAGUGGCCCAACCGCAAGGAG
RNAcentral lists this ribosomal RNA (671 nucleotides) under uncultured Actinomycetes bacterium. RNAcentral describes it as "bacterial SSU rRNA". It matches the Rfam family "Bacterial small subunit ribosomal RNA", at positions 774 to 1448 of the family's 1533-position model. Lineage: Bacteria; Bacillati; Actinomycetota; Actinomycetes. The record is from RNAcentral.